AGUGAACGCUGGCGGUAGGCCUAACACAUGCAAGUCGAACGGCAGCACAGUAAGAGCUUGCUCUUACGGGUGGCGAGUGGCGGACGGGUGAGGAAUACAUCGGAAUCUACUUUUUCGUGGGGGAUAACGUAGGGAAACUUACGCUAAUACCGCAUACGGCCUACGGGUGAAAGCAGGGGAUCUUCGGACCUUGCGCGAUUGAAUGAGCCGAUGUCGGAUUAGCUAGUUGGCGGGGUAAAGGCCCACCAAGGCGACGAUCCGUAGCUGGUCUGAGAGGAUGAUCAGCCACACUGGAACUGGGACACGGUCCAGACUCCUACGAGAGGCAGCAGUGGGGAAUAUUAGACAAUGGGCGCAAGCCUGAUCCAGCCAUACCGCGUGGGUGAAGAAGGCCUUCGGGUUGUAAAGCCCUUUUGUUGGGAAAGAAAAGCAGCAGGUUAAUACCCCGCUGUUCUGACGGUACCCAAAGAAUAAGCACCGGCUAACUUCGUG
RNAcentral lists this ribosomal RNA (492 nucleotides) under uncultured bacterium. RNAcentral's name for it is "partial 16S ribosomal RNA". It matches the Rfam family "Bacterial small subunit ribosomal RNA", at positions 29 to 507 of the family's 1533-position model. The record is from RNAcentral.